Molecule: ribosomal RNA, 650 nt
Filed under: uncultured Pelosinus sp.
Lineage: Bacteria; Bacillati; Bacillota; Negativicutes; Selenomonadales; Sporomusaceae
Description: bacterial SSU rRNA
Rfam family: Bacterial small subunit ribosomal RNA
Source: RNAcentral
AGUUUCCAUUUAUGGAUUCUUAGUGGCGAACGGGUGAGUAACGCGUAGACAACCUACCACUUAGAUGGGGACAACACUGCGAAAGUGGUGCUAAUACCGAAUGUUGUAUUUUGAUUGCAUAAUUGAAAUACUAAAGAUGGCCUCUAUUUAUAAGCUAUCGCUGAGUGAUGGGUCUGCGUCUGAUUAGCUAGUUGGUGAGGUAAUGGCUCACCAAGGCAACGAUCAGUAGCCGGUCUGAGAGGAUGAACGGCCACAUUGGGACUGAGACACGGCCCAAACUCCUACGGGAGGCAGCAGUGGGGAAUCUUCCGCAAUGGACGAAAGUCUGACGGAGCAACGCCGCGUGAGUGAAGAAGGUUUUCGAAUCGUAAAACUCUGUUUUCAGGGACGAAUGUGCAGUGUGUAAAUAAUGCAUUGUAAUGACGGUACCUGAGUAGAAAGCCACGGCUAACUACGUGCCAGCAGCCGCGGUAAUACGUAGGUGGCAAGCGUUGUCCGGAAUUAUUGGGCGUAAAGCGCGCGCAGGUGGGAUAAUAAGUCUGGUGUUAAAGUUCGGGGCUCAACCCCGUGAAGCAUUUGGAAACUGUUAUUCUUGAGUGCAGGAGAGGAAAGUGGAAUUCCUAGUGUAGCGGUGAAAUGCGUAGAUAUUA